This 524-nucleotide long non-coding RNA is filed under the name Eutrema salsugineum. Its description in RNAcentral is "long non-coding RNA (ESAL_LNC000618)". Lineage: Eukaryota; Viridiplantae; Streptophyta; Magnoliopsida; Brassicales; Brassicaceae. The record is from RNAcentral.
CGUACUCGUAUGGCUUCAUCGUUGGAUAUAGCUUUGCAUAAGUCCCAAAAAAGGCUGAUACAAGAGCAGGCACACAAUAUUUUCAGAAAUCAGAGUAAGAUUCAAAGGUGGAAGCUUUAUUUAGACCAGAUGAUCUUUAUAUAUACAUACCUACUACGAAGAUGCUAACAGCAUUGAAAACCUCUGCCCAUUUUCCAGUCAUUUCAGAUAUUUUAGCCAUGCCAAGAGCCAAUCCUCCUGCAGAUAAUGUUCCUAUUCCCCGGUUACAUCCUUUGCUAAAGGUGGCUCCUACGUUAAUAAGAGAAGAUCACACAUAUCAGGUAUUGAAUUCGCUAAAAUGUUCAAGUUUCAUUUGUUGAGUCUGUUGCAUUUACCUAUACUGAACUCGAAGAUAACAACUAUCGUGAGAAUUGCCCACAGAUAGUGGUUGCUGAGCUCUGAUCCUGGGAGCUUAAAGAAGAUGAGAAUGGAGACGAGUGUCAGAGCCAAACCCAUCUUCGCCGAGAAUAUAAUCUUCCUCGGGU